CAGCUAGUGGUCGUCGAUCAGGAUUAUGGUGGCUAGUUGGUUGUGAUGGUCAAGAGGAACCCAUCAACAUUGAUUGUCGAAAAGCCCUGUUGUUUCUCUCUUUAAUCGAAAAAUCAGUGGUCAGAAGAAGCCCUAGGCCAAAGGUCAUCGGAUAAGGACCCAUGGAUAACCCACCAGGGGGGGACAUCCGGCUCCCGCCACCUCUGCCGCUUCUGAUCGACAAAAGGAUGAAGGGAGAAUCUCAAAAUCACUUGGAAGCCGACGGUGAGUCUUGAGAGAUGGCGGCAGUUCGGCGAUUUGGGCACCUCCGGUGGCUACUAGCUGGCACAUGGCCGGGGAGGGGGCAUUCGGCUUCAACCUCCUCCACCGCA
Molecule: long non-coding RNA, 371 nt
Filed under: Elaeis guineensis (African oil palm)
Lineage: Eukaryota; Viridiplantae; Streptophyta; Magnoliopsida; Arecales; Arecaceae
Description: long non-coding RNA (EGUI_LNC054537)
Source: RNAcentral